AACACGAAAAUCAUUUCUUCUUCUUCUUCAGCCUAAAGUGCUAUUUCUUCUGCUGAAAGCGUUCGAGACCCUCUCCGACGACCACUCAUCAUCCGUUCGCGGCCUCCUCCUCCGACCACCCAUCAUCCGUUCGCAACCUCCUCCGUUCGCGAUCUUCUCCGAACACAACCCAUUCUCCGUUUGCAACCUCCUCCGUUUGCGACCAUCCAUCCUCCGUUCGAUGACCACCCAUCUUGGCCGUCACCACCCUUUUUUCUACCAGUAUAGUUUUCACUAUUUCCCCUUAACUUAUUUCUAGGUUGCUAUUUCAAAACCUAAUUUCACCCCCUUUGUCUCUCAUUCUCGAUUUAUGCUGAUAGUCGUCUCACUCCACUGGAAAUUGUACCAGGUUUUGAUUUAUGAAGAAAAUACGCAAUUGAAAAGUGUCAAGUUUCCAGGUUUGUUUUUCUACCAUGUUUGUUUGUCUACCAUGCUUGUGUGUGUGCAACUAGUUUGUUUGACAAAUUUUCUUUGAUUUUAAAAAGCUCGUAGGUUCGCCUGAUGACACCAGCCUUGGAUUUCUCCGAAGUGAUUUUAUUGCAUGAUUCUAUUAGUUUUUGAAAUUGUUGAUUGUCAGGUGAUUUAGAAUUUGACAUGGUAAAGAACACAAUCCAAAGGAUUUUCGGACUCGUUAAACUCGAGAUAAUAUGUAUAUGUUGAAUUGUUUUUUUUUCUUUUUCGCGUGGGUUUAGAUUCUGUUAUAAACAAUGUGAAAUACAUAUUGUUUUUUCAUUUUCCUUCAGUGGUGCUGUAAAUGCGGAGACACACGAAGAAGUUGCUAUUAAGAAGGUUGGCAAUGUGUUUGACAGCAGAAUCGAUGCCAAAAGGACCUUACGAGAGAUUAAACUUCUACGACACAUGGAUCAUGAAAAUGUGAUAGUCCUUAAGGACAUUAUACGGCCUCCACAGACAAACAAUUUCAAUGAUGUUUACAUUGUUUAUGAGUUAAUGGAUACCAACCUGCAUCAAAUAAUCCAUUUGAGGAUGACCAAGUGUUGAUGGAGAAGUUAACGAAUUUGGCCCUUUGUGAUUUCAAAAAUGGUGCUGUUAAGAUUCAAAUGAUUCCAAAUACUGAUAAUUCAUAAUUGGAUUGAUUGCGAAGUCUACAUUGAGAGUUCAGUAUUACCUUGUUUCUAAUGCGAGGAUGUUAAUGUAGCAGCCAUUGAUAUAUGGUCUGUUGGUUGCAUCCUCGACAAAAUCGUGACAAGACCUAUUUCAUGGGACAAAUUAUGUUCAUCAGCUCAGAUUGAUCACAGAGCUCAUAGGUUCGCCCGAUGACACCAGCCUUGGAUUUCUACGAAGUGAUAAUGCUCGUAGAUAUGUAAGAAAACUUCCUCAAUAUCCAAGACAACAAUUUGCUGCCAGGUUUCCAACAUGUCUCCUGGUGCAAUUGAUUUAUUAGAGAGAAUGCUUGUUUUUGAUCCGAACAGAUGCAUUACAGGUAUAGAUUAUAACAAUUCUUCUCUUGACAGUAUA
Vicia villosa (hairy vetch) is the source of this 1515-nucleotide long non-coding RNA. RefSeq lists it as uncharacterized. The record is from RefSeq and is a predicted model, not a curated record. The transcript is spliced from 4 exons. NCBI's taxonomy places the organism in Eukaryota, Viridiplantae, Streptophyta, Magnoliopsida, Fabales, Fabaceae.